GUAGGUGGCAAGCGUUGUCCGGAAUUAUUGGGCGUAAAGCGCGCGCAGGUGGUUCUUUAAGUCUGAUGUGAAAGCCCCCGGGCUCAACCGGGGAGGGUCAUUGGAAACUGGGGAACUUGAGUGCAGGAGAGGAAAGUGGAAUCCCACGUGUAGCGGUGAAAUGCGUAGAUAUGUGGAGGAACACCAGUGGCGAAGGCGACUUUCUGGCCUGUAACUGACACUGAGGCGCGAAAGCGUGGGGAGCAAACAGGAUUAGAUACCCUGGUAGUCCACGCCGUAAACGAUGAGUGCUAAGUGUUGGGGGGUUUCCGCCCCUCAGUGCUGCAGCUAACGCAUUAAGCACUCCGCCUGGGGAGUACGGUCGCAAAGACUG
RNAcentral lists this ribosomal RNA (373 nucleotides) under uncultured organism. Its description in RNAcentral is "partial 16S ribosomal RNA". It matches the Rfam family "Bacterial small subunit ribosomal RNA", at positions 527 to 896 of the family's 1533-position model. The record is from RNAcentral.